Molecule: long non-coding RNA, 439 nt
Filed under: Ananas comosus (pineapple)
Lineage: Eukaryota; Viridiplantae; Streptophyta; Magnoliopsida; Poales; Bromeliaceae
Description: long non-coding RNA (ACOM_LNC027461)
Source: RNAcentral
UUUUUUGAGAGAUAGGUAGCUCACUACUGAUUUCGCUUAUUUUAUUUAGAAAUAAACUAACAUGUUCUUCAUAUCUUCUUUUUUUUUUUGAGAGAGAGAUAUAGGUAGCACGCUAUCCACUUCGUUUAUUUCAUUUAGAAAUAAACUUAGCUAGAAAUGUAAAUCAACUAGAAUUCGAACUUGGAACCUCGGGUACCAACCAUCAAGCCCUUUGCCACUUACUCUAUGGACGGUCGGUCAUAGUGAGUAAUACUAUACUUAUAAAUAAAUUCUAUAAUACUUUACACACUAGCAUAUAUAAUGAUAUCUAGGUUUUUUUUUUUUUGANGUAGCACGCUAUCCGUUUCGUUUAUUUCAUUUCGAAAUAAACUUAGCUGGAAAUAUGAAUCAACUAGGAUUCGAACUUGGGUCUCGAGUACCGACCGCCAAGCCCUUUGCC